GCUUUGGCGGCCCCGUCGCAAGACAACCGGCUCCGGCUGGUCAGCGGCCGCCAGAGGACUCAAAACUCAUAUUAUUAUUGUCGUCUGAGUACUAUAUNAAUAGUUAAAACUUUCAACAACGGAUCUCUUGGUUCUGGCAUCGAUGAAGAACGCAGCGAAAUGCGAUAAGUAAUGUGAAUUGCAGAAUUCAGUGAAUCAUCGAAUCUUUGAACGCACAUUGCGCUCCCUGGUAUUCCGGGGAGCAUGCCUGUUCGAGCGUCAUUAUCAACCAUCAAGCCCUGCUUGGUAUUGGGUGCCGUCCCUGCUGCGGACGCUCCCUAAAGGCCUCGGCGGUGGUGUUGAACCUCAAGCGUAGUAAUUCUCCAGCUUCCCAGGUUCGGCGCCGCCCGCCUCCAGAAACCCCCAUUUCAAGGUUGACCUCGGAUCAGGUAGG
This 433-nucleotide ribosomal RNA is filed under the name Rhytismatales sp. NY397. RNAcentral describes it as "eukaryotic LSU rRNA". The stretch from base 108 to 261 matches the Rfam family "5.8S ribosomal RNA". RNAcentral also lists the same sequence under 1 other name. Lineage: Eukaryota; Fungi; Ascomycota; Leotiomycetes; Rhytismatales. The record is from RNAcentral.